GGGAAUCUCCAAAAGAGGAAAGAGUGUGUCGUGUUCUCUGGAUGCAUUGACUUCAGAAAAUUUUUCUGCAGCACAGCUAUUAACAAUUCUCCUUAACUUUUAGUGUUCCUGAAAUACCAGUUUGGGACUUUGGCCUUGACCAAAUAGGUAAACUUGCCCAGAUUUGUAAAAGGAUCAUUAAUCGACAUUAAACAAUUUUAUUUUGAGAAAAUUAAAGACUCACAGAAAGCUGCAAAAAUAGUACAGAAAAGUACUGUGCACCCUUUACCCAGCCACCUCUAAUGGUAACACAUAUGACCAUAGUAUAAUAAUACCCAAACCAAGAAGCUGACAUUGGUACAAUCAACAGACCUCAUUCAGAUUUUAUUAGAUUUCCCAUGCAUUCCUGUGUGUGUAUGUGAGUGUGUAUGUAGUUCUAUGUCAUUUUAUCACAUGCAUAGAUUCAUGAAACUACCCUAAAAUCAAUUCAAAACUAUUUCAUUACCAACCACAAUGAAACCCCCUCAUUCUAACUUCCUCUCGGGUCCCUAAAUUCUGACAACUAUUUUUUUUUUUUUUUUGUCUUUUUGCUAUUUCUUUGGGCCGCUCCCCCGGCAUAUGGAGGUUCCCAGGCUAGGGGUCGAAUCGGAGCUGUAGCCCCUGGCCUACGCCAGAGCCAGAGCAACUCGGGAUCUGAGCCGCGUCCACAACCCACACCACAGCUCACUGCAACGCCGGAUCACCAACCCACUGAGCAAGGGCAGGGACCGAACCCACAACCUCAUGGUUCCUAGUCGGAUUCGCUAACCACUGCGCCACGACGGGAACUCCCAUAGCUAGGCUUUAAACUUGGCAAUCUGACUCUCCUCUAUGUUCUUAACUGCUCUAUUAUAUGACCUCUCUCCCAUGCUGUACAAUCUAGAGAAGCACAUUGUCCAUACUCAGGACUAAAAGAAAUAAGUACAACCUGGAAGGAAAGGGGAUGCCCAUCUAUAGAGGAAAACUAAGAAUUUCAACUUACCCAGAAGUGGUGCCCACUGAAUCCACUUGUAGCUCAUUUCUGAGAAACAUUAAGUUUAUAGCUUAGUGACACCUCCGGGUAGGAGUUACCCUCUAGGUCAUAUCCAACAUACACAGGGUGAAAUUUACAUCAUACAACUAUUACAGUUUUACCUUUCCAACCUCCCUGUCUGCUUUCCUGUAGUUGGCAGCAAUAAAGAGCCUUUAAAUCAGUAGGUGUAAGAAGGAAAAAGAAGCUGAAGAGAGAUUUAUUCCUAAAGGCAUUCUUGAGCAGAACCCAAAGGGAAAUUUACAGAUAUUAUUAUAGAGGAUGAAAGCACGGAUUGGAAGUCUAAUAGGUUUGGUGUUAACUCUACUUUUUUCACUUAUGUGACCCUAUGCAAGUUGCUUAGCCCCUGUAAUCCUCAGCUUUCCUAUCUAUACAAUGGGACUGUUACCUGACUGCUUCAUAGAAUAAUUGCAAGGCUUAAGACUUUAUCAAGCACUUAGAGUGUUUGGCAUGCAAUAACCAUUCAAAUUAAAAUUUUAUUGCUAUAGUUAGGAUAACUGAGUUUUAUUUGGCAAUCCUAGGUAAAGAUACCAUGAUACUAAAGAUAGUAAUGUUGGUAUUUUCUCACCCCGGUUUGUCUGUCUUCAAGGAAGAAAAUUUUUCUUUCAUGGAUUUCAGGUCACUCCUCCUAUUUCUGCCUUGGAUUGUCUCUCCCUAAUCAGCUCUAAACUGAUUCCUGGUAAACACCUACCUGCCUGCAUCAUCCCUAUAUCUUCAGUCGUUGAAGGUCAUUUUGAAUUUUUAUUUAUUCCUCCAAGGAGUGAGUGCACUACCAAGUAUGUUGCCUACACCAAAGUCUAUGACAUGAACUUUUUUCUUUAGUAAUUUUGAAUAGAACUGGUCCAUUUCUAGACUCCUGGCAUGCAUUUAUACGUAAGAUAGUGAUUUACAAACUAUUUCUAGUGUGGAUUGCUUUCCUCACUACCUCCUCUAGUUUUUGCUUGUUUGUUGUUUUGGGGGCGGCUUUUUUUGGCUACACCUGUGGCCUGUGGAAAUUCCCAGGCUAGGGAUCAAACCCAGGCCACAGCAGUGACCCAAGCUGCUGCAGUGAAAACACCUGAUCCUCAACACACUACACCACAGGGAAUUCCAGGCUCCUCUAGUUUUGGCCAGGGUAGAAGUCAAGACAGAAAUUUUUUUGUCGUGGUUUCUAAAAAAUGUACUUUUGGUGAGGAAAUUCAUUUGUAAGAAUUGCUUGCAGAAAUUUUACCGAACACUAGAGGUGAAAGGCAAUGAAUGAAUGACAUACCAGAUGGUAUCUACUUAGAACAUUUUCAUCACACCCCAUAGGAAAUGAAAUUCGAGGAAAGUAAAAAUCUUUCUGGUAAUAUUUUCCUUAAACUGUUACCACUAUUUACAACUUUAGGUAAAAUAUUACAAUGUUAGAACUGCUGAAAUUGGUAUUAACUCACACCAGCCUGUCUUGCUUUAAGGGAGAAUGUCCCUUUCAAUCCAAUAAAAAUAAGGUUUAUGGGCUAAGAUGCAUUACUUAGAAUUAUUUAGGUGUAAUUCAAGUUUUAAUGGAGUUUGUCAGUCCUUGGAUUGAAAGACAAGUAAAAAAAAUGCACCGGUGCAAAUAUUUAAAUAUUUUUUCACUAUUUUUGGCUAGGUUCAGGGUGCUAGGAAAACAUUUUACCAAGUGUAAUAUACUUUUAAAUAUUGGAAAAGUUGUAUUUUCACAGCAUAAUUAAUGUGUCAUAAUUAAUGUCAUAAUUAAUGUGUCAGCAGGUUGUUGGAAAUGCUUUUGCAGGAAGGAAGACUACAGCUGUAUUUAAUUAUGCUGAAGCACUAGAGAAAGAAUGUAGCUCUUUAAAAAAAUCUCUAGAUGAUGAGAUUUUGUGAAAAUGAAUCCUGACUUUCCUGCAAUUGAAUCUAUACUAAAUGAACAAUCUCUAAACAGCACAUGAGAAAGUAUCAGAAAAUGUCUCUAGCUUAGGUUGAUUUUCUGAACACCUAUUUUGGAAAUAAGUUAGAUCUUUUCGAAUGUUAUGUUUAGGUUUGCUUAGCUUGUGUUAUUAAAUAUUCUCAAUAGUAUAAUUAUUAGUGAUAAAAGUAAAUUUAUAAGACCCAACAAAACAAGUGCUAUGUAUUAAAACUACAUGUUUGGAGAAAUAUUAACCCAACAAUUUGAUUUUUAUUUAAAGACUUUUUCAUGAGAGAGCAAGAACUUGCAAAUAGUAUUGGCAUACCUCGAUUACCAUAAUAUUUAUAUGCAAAAAGAGAAUGUUAAUUGUUUUAUUUGAUGCAGAAACACUUAUUUCAUAUUAAGUAUGGCUUAAAUAUCUGUCUUAAUAUUAUCAUCUUUCUCAUAGUAAACAAAAUGUAUUUGUGUAUAGUAAAGUGCACUUGAGUCAAAGUUUCAUUUAUUCAGGGCAGAUAAAAAUAUUCUUAUCCAUCGAAAAUGAAUUCAGUGACUUAAAAAAUAGCAGAAUUGGUUGAUGUUGAAGAUCUUUUGCUUAGCUUGUCUUCUCUAUCCAGUAACCUGUUUUGUGAUAAUUUUCCUGAUGGUACUUUGUGCCUAAGGAAAGGUGGAAGAGAGAAUACCAGGUGACAUUUCUCAUCCAAUUUUAGCAUGUGUCUUGAUAUUUUCUAUUUAAAAUCAUACUAAUGCCAUUUAUAAAACAGUGUAUAAGAUGACUGACAAACUUAAGGAAAAACUAUAAAGGAAAUGAAUAAACAAUUUAGAAAAACAUUUUUAUAUGAUCUUAAUCUUUUUGCUAAUAAAUAUGAAAAACACUCAUCUGUAUAACUAAUAAAAAGAUGAAACUUAAAAUAGAUGUAAAUUAAAAUAAGUUAACUGCUAUUUACCUGUUUUGUUGGUGAAAGUAAAAUAUAAAAAUUCCCAUCAUUGUGCUAUGCCCAGCCAUGUGCUGCAAGUAAAGAAAAUGCCCAUCCACAUGCUGCAAGUGGAAAGGGAUAAUGGUCCAUACACAUUUUUAGGAAUAUGAUUUAGCAAUACUUAAUAAAAACUUUCAAAAUGUGUGUACUCUUUCACCUAGAAAAUCUUCAAGAAAUUUAUCUUGAGGAAAUAAUAGUGAGCAAAAACAAUUGUAAAAGUGUUCAUUUUGGUUUUGCUUACAAUACUGAAAUGUCUGAAACAAUUUAAAUGUUCAAAAAGGGGGGUUUGGUUUAUAAGCUAUUGUUCAUUCAUACAGUUGAAUAAUGUAAAGGCAUUUAAAGUAAUAAUGUAGAUCUAUCCUGACAUUGAAAGAUAGGUAAGAUAAAUUGUUCAAUGAAAAGUUCUCAAAAGUAUGGAAAUGUAUGUAUAUAUACAUAAAUUAUGUAUAGUACACCAAAAUACUGGUAGUGGUUAAUCUAUAUGCAAUGGAGUUAUAGGUACUUUAUAGUCAUGAUUUUUGUAUUCCAAAUUUUAUAUAAUGAUCAGAAGUUACUGUUGGAAUCGGAAAAGAGAUAGCGGGAGAAACAGGAACAUUUUAGAAUUAUAGACAAUUAUGUGGAGCUUACAGAAACAUAGGGAAUUGUGUAGGUGCUAUAUAGGCACGUCUUUGAGCUAUGCAUUAUUAGAAGCUAAUUUUUAAAAUAAUAUAUGAAGAGCAUACACACAAGCAUUGUUCCCUUCCAGUGAUGACCUUACGACUAAGUAAUUAUUCCAGUUAUGCUGACACUAACAGAAUGUUAAAGAUGAUCUACUUCUUCAUUUUAUAGGUGAGAAAUCUUGGGCUCAUUGCAUCUAAAUACUUUCCCAGGUCACAAAACAACUAGGUAAUGAGAAGCCCACAAAACCAUGCUGCUUUCCCUUUCCAUUUUUUCGGAUAAUUAU
This 4829-nucleotide long non-coding RNA is filed under the name Sus scrofa (pig). RNAcentral's name for it is "lncRNA (ENSSSCG00000052658.1)". The record is from RNAcentral. Lineage: Eukaryota; Metazoa; Chordata; Mammalia; Artiodactyla; Suidae.